Long non-coding RNA from Thalassophryne amazonica, 119 nucleotides. RefSeq lists it as uncharacterized. The transcript has 4 exons. NCBI's taxonomy places the organism in Eukaryota, Metazoa, Chordata, Actinopteri, Batrachoidiformes, Batrachoididae. The record is from RefSeq and is a predicted model, not a curated record.
ACUUUUUUCAAAGAUCAAAAGAUUUUUACAUGUAAUUUAAAUGCUAAAUAGUCACUAACCUACCUCAAGACCUGUCAAGGUGCACACCGCCUCUCAGUUUAGCAUUCCCAGAAGUGCUC